UACGAGGGGGGCGAGCGUUGUUCGGAAUUAUUGGGCGUAAAGGGCGCGUAGGCGGUGCGGUAAGUCACCUGUGAAACCUCUGGGCUUAACUCAGAGCCUGCAGGCGAAACUGCCGUGCUGGAGUGUGGGAGAGGUGCGUGGAAUUCCCGGUGUAGCGGUGAAAUGCGUAGAUAUCAGGAGGAACACCUGCGGUGUAGACGGCUAUCUGGACGGUUACUGACGCUGAGACACGAAAGCGUGGGUAGCAAACAGG
RNAcentral lists this ribosomal RNA (253 nucleotides) under uncultured bacterium. Its description in RNAcentral is "partial 16S ribosomal RNA". It matches the Rfam family "Bacterial small subunit ribosomal RNA", at positions 524 to 776 of the family's 1533-position model. The record is from RNAcentral.